GCUGACGACCUCCACCUGCCCGGGUUUAUUGUUCGGAGUUUGCUCUCCUAGGCAGAUUGCCUACCACGGCUGACGACCUCCACCUGCCCGGGUUUAUUGUUCGGAGUUUGCUCUCCUAGGUGAACUGCCUACCACGGCUGACGACCUCCACCUGGCCGGGUUUAUUGUUCGGAGUUUGCUCUCCUAGGUGAACUGCCUACCACGGCUGACGACCUCCACCUGCCCGGGUUUGUUGUUCGGAGUUUGCUCUCCUAGGUGAACUGCCUACCACGGCUAACGAACCUCACCUGCCCGGGUUUGUUUAGAGUUUGCUCUCCUAGGUGAACUGCCUACCACGGCUAACGAGCCCCACCUGCCCGGGUUUGUUUAGAGUUUGCUCUCCUAGGUGAACUGCCUACCACGGCUAACGAGCCUCACCUGCCCGGGUUUGUUUAGAGUUUGCUCUCCUAGGUGAACUGCCUACCACGGCUAACGACCUCCACCUGCCCGGGUUUGUUUAGAGUUUGCUCUCCUAGGUGAAUUGCCUCCCACGGCUAACGACCUCCACCUGCCCGGGUUUGUUUAGAGUUUGCUCUCCUAGGUGAACUGCCUACCACGGCUAACGAGCCUCACCUGCCCGGGUUUGUUUAGAGUUUGCUCUCCUAGGUGAAUUGCCUCCCACGGCUAACGACCUCCACCUGCCCGGGUUUGUUUAGAGUUUGCUCUCCUAGGUGAAUUGCCUCCCACGGCUAACGACCUCCACCUGCCCGGGUUUAUUGUUCGGAGUUUGCUCUCCUAGGUGAAU
Eriocheir sinensis (Chinese mitten crab) is the source of this 784-nucleotide long non-coding RNA. RefSeq lists it as uncharacterized. NCBI's taxonomy places the organism in Eukaryota, Metazoa, Arthropoda, Malacostraca, Decapoda, Varunidae. The transcript has 4 exons. The record is from RefSeq and is a predicted model, not a curated record.